This 746-nucleotide long non-coding RNA is filed under the name Pongo abelii (Sumatran orangutan). RNAcentral's name for it is "lincRNA". The record is from RNAcentral. Lineage: Eukaryota; Metazoa; Chordata; Mammalia; Primates; Hominidae.
AGACUGAUCUCACAUUCAUGUUAACUGGUUUAUUUUGAAGCAUAACAUUUCAUCAAGGUGUAUACCUAUAUGUGAAUAUUUACCAAUUUAGAAUCUGAAACAGAUGCAGAUGAAGAAUGACCUACUUGAAAAUUUACCAGCCAAGCCUGUAAGCUGUGUAAUGUCAACACAAAGGAAAUAUCAAUUCAAGUGGAUUCCAAUGUGCAACUGUAGUCAUUAGUAUGGACUGUCAAACUUUCAAGCAUUUGCCUUAUUUAUUGAACAACAUAAUAAUUCAAAAUGGUAAUGGGAAGAGGGUGGAGUAGGAAAAUAAGGAUAGACUGAAACCAAGGUCCUUAGGGCUUCUAUCUGAAUUUCAGAAUUACUGUCAAAUAAAUAUUUAUUGGUGUCCUUUCUCUUGUAUGUAGACAAUAAGUACACAUACAGAUAGCUGUCUAAAAAUUCAGUGUUAACGCUGGAAUUAGAUAUUGAAACUGAGUACCAAUAUUACCUUUAGUCAAUUUCCCUUAGGAUACUAUUUUGUGAAGAGAAUAUAUUAUUCAUGUGCAUAUUAAUUAAAGCUUUUAAAAUGAUCACUGAAAAUGUAUCCUCUGACCUGCAGAAAAUAUCCAGUGUAUGUUCUUAAGUCCUGGUGCUAGACGCAAAUUAAAGAUGAGUAAUGCAAAUUGAAAUUUCCAUGAAAUGAAUCAUUCUACAUAAUGAGCUUUACAAAUUCCACAUUUUAUGCAAUACCAAAAAUAAAAAAA